AUGUCUAAGUACAUGCCGAAAUAAGGCGAAACCGCGAAUGGCUCAUUAAAUCAGUUAUGGUUCCUUAGAUCGUUUCUUCCUACUUGGAUAACUGUGGCAAUUCUAGAGCUAAUACAUGCAGUGAGCCUGGAGCCCUUUGGGUAACGGGUGCUUUUAUUAGACCAAGAUCGAUCGGGUUUCGGCCCGUAUUGUGUGGUGACUCUGGAUAACUUUGUGCUGAUCGCAUGGCCACGAGCCGGCGACGUUUCUUUCAAGUGUCUGCCUUAUCAACUUUCGAUGGUAGGUUACUUGCUUACCAUGGUUGUUACGGGUAACGGAGAAUCAGGGUUCGAUUCCGGAGAGGGAGCCUGAGAAACGGCUACCACAUCCAAGGAAGGCAGCAGGCGCGCAAAUUACCCACUCCCGGCACGGGGAGGUAGUGACGAAAAAUAACAAUACGGGACUCUUUUGAGGCCCCGUAAUUGAAAUGAGUACACUCUAAAUCCUUUAACGAGGAUCAAUUGGAGGGCAAGUCUGGUGCCAGCAGCCGCGGUAAUUCCAGCUCCAAUAGCGUAUACUAAAGCUGCUGCGGUUAAAAAGCUCGUAGUUGGAUCUCAGUUCCAGACGAGUAGUGCAUCUACCCGAUGCGACGGCUCGGACUGAACAUCAUGCCGGUUCUUUCUUGGUGCACUUCAUUGUGUGCCUCGAGAUGGCCGGUGCUUUUACUUUGAAAAAAUUAGAGUGCUCAACGCAGGCGAGUCGCCUGAAUAAACUUGCAUGGAAUAAUAGAACAAGACCUCGUUUCUGUUCUGUUGGUUUUUGGAAUACGAGGUAAUGAUUAAGAGGGACGGACGGGGGCAUUCGUAUUGCGGCGCUAGAGGUGAAAUUCUUGGACCGUCGCAAGACGAACUACUGCGAAAGCAUUUGCCAAGAAUGUUUUCAUUGAUCAAGAACGAAAGUCAGAGGUUCGAAGGCGAUCAGAUACCGCCCUAGUUCUGACCAUAAACGAUGCCAACCAGCGAUCCGCCUGAGUUACUCAAAUGACUCGGCGGGCAGCUUCCGGGAAACCAAAGUAUUUGGGUUCCGGGGGAAGUAUGGUUGCAAAGCUGAAACUUAAAGGAAUUGACGGAAGGGCACCACCAGGAGUGGAGCCUGCGGCUUAAUUUGACUCAACACGGGAAAACUUACCCGGCCCGGACACUGGGAGGAUUGACAGAUUGAGAGCUCUUUCUUGAUUCGGUGGAUGGUGGUGCAUGGCCGUUCUUAGUUGGUGGAGCGAUUUGUCUGGUUAAUUCCGAUAACGAACGAGACUCUAGCCUAUUAAAUAGGUGCGGGGUUCCCAGCACCUUACAACCUUCUUAGAGGGACAAGCGGCUCCUAGCCGCACGAAACAGAGCAAUAACAGGUCUGUGAUGCCCUUAGAUGUCCGGGGCCGCACGCGCGCUACACUGAAGGAAGCAGCGUGUCUUUAUCCCUGUCUGAAAAGACUGGGUAACCCGUGGAACUUCUUUCGUGAUUGGGAUAGGGGCUUGCAAUUGUUCCCCUUGAACGAGGAAUUCCCAGUAAGCGCGAGUCAUAAGCUCGCGUUGAUUACGUCCCUGCCCUUUGUACACACCGCCCGUCGCUACUACCGAUUGAAUGAUUUAGUGAGGUCUUCGGACCGAUGUCCGGCGCGGCCUUUCGGUUGCGCCGGUCUGUUGGAAAGAUGACCAAACUUGAUCA
Molecule: ribosomal RNA, 1701 nt
Filed under: Rhipicephalus turanicus
Lineage: Eukaryota; Metazoa; Arthropoda; Arachnida; Ixodida; Ixodidae
Description: SSU rRNA
Rfam family: Eukaryotic small subunit ribosomal RNA
Source: RNAcentral